Molecule: non-coding RNA, 31 nt
Filed under: Mus musculus (house mouse)
Lineage: Eukaryota; Metazoa; Chordata; Mammalia; Rodentia; Muridae
Source: RNAcentral
UCNCAGAUGAUGGUCCAGCCUCGAGCUAUGU